Molecule: ribosomal RNA, 622 nt
Filed under: Pleosporaceae sp.
Lineage: Eukaryota; Fungi; Ascomycota; Dothideomycetes; Pleosporales; Pleosporaceae
Description: partial 18S ribosomal RNA
Rfam family: 5.8S ribosomal RNA (bases 264-417)
Source: RNAcentral
UGGUCCAUUAGAGGAAGUAAAAGUCGUAACAAGGUCUCCGUAGGUGAACCUGCGGAGGGAUCAUUACACAAUAUGAAGGCGGGCUGGACACCCUCCAGCCGGGCACUGCUUCACGGCGUGCGCGGCUGGAGCCGGCCCUGCUGAAUUAUUCACCCGUGUCUUUUGCGUACUUCUUGUUUCCUGGGUGGGCUCGCACGCCAUCAGGACCAACCAUAAACCUUUUUGUAAUAGCAAUCAGCGUCAGUAACAACGUAAUUAAUUACAACUUUCAACAACGGAUCUCUUGGUUCUGGCAUCGAUGAAGAACGCAGCGAAAUGCGAUACGUAGUGUGAAUUGCAGAAUUCAGUGAAUCAUCGAAUCUUUGAACGCACAUUGCGCCCUUUGGUAUUCCAAAGGGCAUGCCUGUUCGAGCGUCAUUUGUACCCUCAAGCUUUGCUUGGUGUUGGGCGUCUUUUGUCUCCAGCUCGCUGGAGACUCGCCUUAAAGUCAUUGGCAGCCGGCCUACUGGUUUCGGAGCGCAGCACAAGUCGCGCUCUUGCCCAGCCAAGGUCAGCGUCCAGCAAGCCUUUUUUCAACCUUUGACCUCGGAUCAGGUAGGGAUACCCGCUGAACUUAAGCAUA